This 276-nucleotide long non-coding RNA is filed under the name Gallus gallus (chicken). Lineage: Eukaryota; Metazoa; Chordata; Aves; Galliformes; Phasianidae. The record is from RNAcentral.
AGCAAUAGGACAAGGAGUAAUGGCCUCGAACUUGAACAUAGGAAGUUCUAUACUAACGUGGAAGAACUUCUUUAUGGUAAGGGUGACACAGCACUGGAACAGGCUGUCCACAGAGGUUGUGGAGUCUCCUUCUAUGGAGAUAUUUAAAGCAAAUGGUAUCCUGGGCUCCAUCAUGAGAGGAGUGGCCAGCAGGGACAGGGAGGUGAUUGUCCCUCUCUACUCUGCUCUUGUGAGGUACCAGCUAGCUGGAGUAUUGUGUCCAGGUAUGGAGCCCCC